UCCGACCACAUCACGUUAAAAAAACCGGUUCCUGUACGAUCGCUGAAGUUAAGCAGCGCCGAGACUGGUCAGUAUCUAGAUGGGUCACCGCUAGGGAACACCAGGUGCUGUAAG
Acanthosepion pharaonis is the source of this 114-nucleotide non-coding RNA. Lineage: Eukaryota; Metazoa; Mollusca; Cephalopoda; Sepiida; Sepiidae. The record is from the annotation of a GenBank genome assembly.